RNAcentral lists this ribosomal RNA (879 nucleotides) under uncultured Bacillota bacterium. RNAcentral describes it as "bacterial SSU rRNA". It matches the Rfam family "Bacterial small subunit ribosomal RNA", at positions 1 to 866 of the family's 1533-position model. Lineage: Bacteria; Bacillati; Bacillota. The record is from RNAcentral.
UUAGAGUUUGAUCAUGGCUCAGGAUGAACGCUGGCGGCAUGCCUAAGACAUGCAAGUCGACGAAGUGGUCCGUUGAAGAAUGCGUACUUGUACAAUUUUGGAUUCGGGUUGCCACUUAGGGCAGACGGGUGAGUAACACGUAGGUAAUCUACCUCAGAGACUGGGAUAACGUUUGGAAAGAACGCUAAUACCGGAUGAUUCAUAAUUAGAUAACUAGUUAUGCUAAAAGGGGCUUCGGCUCACUUUGAGAUGAGCUUGCGGUGUAUUAGUUUGUUGGUGGGGUAAUGGCCUACCAAGACACGAUGCAUAUCCGAGCUGAGAGGCUGAUCGGACACACUGGGACUGAGACACGGCCCAGAUCCUACGGGAGACAGCAGUUAGGAAUAUUCGUCAAUGGGGGAAACCCUGAACGAGCAAUGCGCGUGAGUGAUGAAGGUCCUUUGGAUUGUAAAACUCUGUUGUAAAGGAAGAACCCUUACAUAGGUAAUGAUGGUAAGCUGACGGUACUUUACCAGAAAGCCCCGGCUAACUACGUGCCACAGCCGCGGUAAUACGUAGGGGGCGAGCGUUAUCCGGAUUUAUUGGGCGUAAAGCGUGUGAGGCGGUUUAUUAAGUCUAAGAUUAAAGCCUGAGGCUUAACCUCAGUUCGUCUUAGAAACGGUAGACUUGAGUGUGGUAGAGGCAAGUGGAAUUUCUAGUGUAGCGGUUAAAUGCGUAGAAUUAGAAGGAACACCAGUGGCGAAGGCGGCUUGCUGGGCCAUUACUGACGCUGAGACACGAAGCGUGGGGAGCAAAUAGGAUUAGAUACCCUAGUAGUCCACGCCGUAAACGAUGAGUACAAGUGUCGGGAAACCGGUGCUGAAGUUAACACAUUAAGUA